This is a long non-coding RNA of Physeter macrocephalus (sperm whale), 3372 nucleotides long. RefSeq lists it as uncharacterized. The record is from RefSeq and is a predicted model, not a curated record. The transcript has 3 exons. NCBI's taxonomy places the organism in Eukaryota, Metazoa, Chordata, Mammalia, Artiodactyla, Physeteridae.
UUUGGGUCGUACUCCCCUCAACAGUAAAACGGGUGGUGCGGUAAUAAUCACUUCAAAGGGCAAAGACACAAGAGAACCGUGCCCACCCCAGCAUAUGCAUCACGGGAGGAUUACCCUCUUCACUGUCUUCAUUACAAUGCUGUGGACACCAAACAAAUCCUCACGAAACUGAGGGGUAGUACUGGAAAGGACGUGGUGAUGGCAUCAAGACUCAAAAGGGGCUUCCCUGGCGGCGCAGUGGUUGAGAGCCCGCCUGCCGAGGCGGGGGACGCGGGUUCGGGCCCCGGUCCGGGAGGAUCCCACGUGCCGCGGGGCGGCUGGGCCCGUGAGCCGUGGCCGCUGAGCCUGCGCGUCCGGAGCCUGCGCUCCGCAACGGGAGAGGCCACAGCAACGAGAGGCCCGCGUACGGCAAAAAAAAAAAAAAGACUAAAAAGGAUUUUGGCAGUCCAUACAAUGGGGGAGGCCAAACAAAGUCACAGAACAGGUAUCAGUGGAAACAGAAGCCAACUCCAAAGAAGAUUGAGUUAGAUCUCAAAUUCCUGGACAGCCCGGCCGCAUCCGGCAUCACAAAGCCGCCUGCUUUGUUCCCCCCUGACAUAUCUCUGGAAUCCAUCCCCUCUUCUCCCAGAUUCACCGCACACUGCCGGGCAGGUCCCCACCUGUUCGCUAUCCCCUCCAUCGCCUGGACCACCUGUAGCAGCCUCUCAGCUGACACCCGCUCUGCAAAUGAAAUGAGCCACAGGAGAAACAGCUAAUGUCAACAAACUGCCACCAAAAUAUGCGCACGCCAUAAACCAACUGACGGGAGAAGCAUCUUUACCGAAACUAUCCAUCCUUCCUUCUCAUUAAUAGUUCAAAUCGUACACAAGAAAGCGACCUCGUCCUUCACUGCAUUUCCUUCUCUGGGAGAUUUUGACAACGUUCCAACUAUUCAAGAAUGAUGAUCUCCGUGAAACAGAUACUAAAGUAUGAGACCUUAAUAGAAAUCAUUUCUCUUAUUAGCAAUCAACUAACGUUUCAAAUGUGAAUUUAGAAAUAACACUGAAACAUUCUUUCAAUUGCCUGGGCAGGAUGACCAGCAUUCAUUAUAUAAAUAAUUUCAUUAUAAAGAUACACUCAAAGAUUUACCUAAUAAAUCCCUGCUCCAAAACUGGGAGGAUAUUUUUCUAAAAAUGCAAGUUUAAGUUUUCCAUAAAGAGCCACACACAAAGGAAUAGCUCAAUUAAAUUCCCAGCUCUUUUUAAAAACAUGGUUUGAUUAGCUUGGAAGCUACAUCUAAUUCUAAGAUGUGCCAGAGGCACGUAUGUAGAAACAUAAUCAUAGCGUCAAGGCAGCUGAUAAAAUAAAUAAAGGCCAUGGAAGGCAAAAUAUUAUACUGAAUUAUUAUCUACGAAUGUAACCAAAAGGUUGGUAUUUGAUAUGUCACAAUGAAUAUCCCUAAAAACAUUCAGAAUGUCCUCCAAAGACAAACUGGGUUAUGUGCAUUAAGGCAGAGCUUGCUGAUUACCCCCAGGGUCAAUCCUUCAAUUUCUAGGAAAGGGAAAAGAACCUCAAUUCUUUGCUAAACCAAAAGAACUACAUUGUCCACUUCCCUUCCACGCAAAUGUGGUCAUUUGGCCAAUGAGAGGCAGGCGGAAGUACCGUUAAGGUUUCUCCCGAUAAGCAUCUUUGACUUAAUUGUUUCCCCCCCCAGGUUUAUUGAGGUAUAAUUGACAUAAAAUUGAAAGAUAUUUAAAGUGUACGUCAUGGUGAUUUGAUACACGUAUACAUUGUAAAAGGAUUCCCCACAUGUAAUUAACACUUCCAUCACCUCACAAAUUUAUCUUUUUCAGGACAACAAUUAAGGUCUAUUCUUUAGCAAAUUUCAAUUAUAUAAUACAGUUAUCAGCAUGUUUACAUUAGAUCCCCAGACCUUAUUUAUUUUAUAGCUGAAAGUCUGUACUCUUUCACAAACCUCUCCCUAUUUCUUGUAUCCCCCUCAGCCCCUGACAACCACUUUUCUACUGUUUCUAUGAGUUUGACUUUUUUUUUUAGACUCCGCAUAUGUUACCAUGCAGUAUUUGUCUUUCUCUGUCUGGCUUAUCUCACUCAGCAUAAUACCCUCAAGGUCCAUCCAUGUUCCAAAUGGAAGGAUUUCCUUCUUUCUCAUGGUUGAUAAUAUUCCGGUGUGUGUGUGGGUGUGUGUGUGUGGUGGGGGGUGUAUGCCUAUAUAGAAAACUCAUAUCUUAUUUAUCCAUUCAUCUAUCAGUAGACAUUUAGGUUGCCAUCUAUCUUGGCUACUGCAAAUAAUGCUGCAAUGAACAUAGGGGUGCAUAUAUCUUUUCAGAUUAGUGUUCCUGUUUUCUUCAAGUGAAACACCCAGAAGUGGAAUUACUGGAUUGUCUGGUGGUUCUAUUUUUAAUUUUUUGAGGAACCUCCAUAUUGUUUCUCAUAGUGUCUGUACUAACUUACAUUCCUACCAACAGUGCACAAGGGUUCCCUUUUGUCCACGCCCUUGCCAAGACUUGGUAUCUCUUGUCUUUCUGAUAAUAACCAUUCUGACAGCUGUGGAGUGAUAUCUCAUUGGGGUUUUGAUGUGCCUUUCUCUGACAAUUAGUGAUGCCAAGCACCAUUUCACACACCUGUUGGCCAUCUGUGUGUCUUCUUUGGUGACACGUCUAUUCAGAUCAUCGGCUCAUUUUCUAAUGGGACUGUUUUGGGUUUUUUUGCUACUGAGUUGUAUGAGUUUGUAUUUUUUUUAAAAUAUAUUUUCAAUAUAAACUCCUUAUCUCCCAGUAAGACUCUUUUCAAAGGAGGGAGAGGACCUUCCUCCCAGCCUGGGAUGCAUUGUGGUGGCCUGGGGUGGAGCUGUGGCCUGAGAGCAUGCUGGGAAUAGGGAGAAUUUUGCUGCAAUGAGUCAGGUCUCAGCAAAGUCAUGAAGCAUCCCUUCCUACUCUGGACUUCUUGUCUGCAGUGUAAUAGAGACAAACUUCCCUCCUGUAUAGCAACUGUGGUUUGAGGUCAUUUCUUCUCUUAAAUGCCGUGGAACCUAAUUUUAAAUGAUUGAGGCAGCGCAUGAAGAAAGAACUUCAAAUGUCCAUUGCCUUUCUAGACCCCUCCCAUCAUCAUGCCCCACUCCUUCUAUCAAGCUGGUGUCUCCUCCCCGCCCGCUUCCAAAGAAAAAGCACUUAUUAGAGUAAGCGCUACGUCAUCCCACAAGAAAUACAUACUCGUGUGCAUGUGUGCAUGUCCCGAGUAAGAGUAAGACAUCUAAUGUACAUAAAGGAAAAAACCAUCCCCAAGUGAACCCGAAUUUAGAUUGCUGUCCUUGACACCUCCAUUUUGAAGAUGCUCUUAAGAAACAGGUUAAUCAUUAUAACUAAUUAAAUAUCA